This 253-nucleotide ribosomal RNA is filed under the name uncultured bacterium. Its description in RNAcentral is "partial 16S ribosomal RNA". It matches the Rfam family "Bacterial small subunit ribosomal RNA", at positions 524 to 776 of the family's 1533-position model. The record is from RNAcentral.
UACGGAGGGGGCUAGCGUUGUUCGGAAUUACUGGGCGUAAAGCGCACGUAGGCGGCUUUGUAAGUUAGAGGUGAAAGCCCGGGGCUCAACUCCGGAAUUGCCUUUAAGACUGCAACGCUAGAGUUGUGGAGAGGUAAGUGGAAUUCCGAGUGUAGAGGUGAAAUUCGUAGAUAUUCGGAAGAACACCAGUGGCGAAGGCGACUUACUGGACAAAUACUGACGCUGAGGUGCGAAAGCGUGGGGAGCAAACAGG